Long non-coding RNA from Prinia subflava (tawny-flanked prinia), 1509 nucleotides. RefSeq lists it as uncharacterized. The transcript has 2 exons. The record is from RefSeq and is a predicted model, not a curated record. Lineage: Eukaryota; Metazoa; Chordata; Aves; Passeriformes; Cisticolidae.
GGUCUGAAGCUGUUGGAGGGAGCAAGAAAAUGGGCACAGAGGGUUAACCAUGAACUCUACAUUGAUGACAUCAAAAGACACAGCAGCUUUAAGGCAGGUGUAAGCAAUCAUCAACACACCUGCAUGCAGUGUUUCCUAGAAGAGCUACCACGUAUUUCUUCUGUAAUAAAGGAGUCAGGCUGACUGAUGAUAUGCAUUAUGGAUGUCACCUCCAGCAUAAAUACUAUGGGAGAGGUGAGCACAAAGAACUACGGAAGGGAAGGGAAAUGAAACAUAGAAAAAUGUUGGGAAAUACCUCGCAAAGAAACAGCAUGGCAGGAAACAAGGUUAGAGAGUUACAGGGGAAAUACGAGCCAACAAUGUGAUGUCAAACCCAGGAAAUGGUCUGUAAAUGUCAUGUGAAACCCAUGGAGAUAAUUACCAUGCUCCACUCCUCCUGUAGAGGCCCCUGGAGGCUGGAGGUGUGUGCUGGUUUAGGUGUGUGCCAGCUUGGGUCACCACGUUCUGAGGAGGCUGUGAGAGAGAACAGCACAAACCAGAGGUUCAGAAAACAGGACCUAUGAAUAGAGGUUCAAACAGCUGGCUGGUUUUGGUCCUAUCCAAAAAAAUUCAACUGAGAUGUAUGUCUUCUAAUGUAAAAAGGGCUAUAGAUUAUGGAUCAAUAAAACUGUUGCUGUGUAAUUGUCACUCUGCCAAGGAAAAUGGCAAAAUGAAAUUAGUUAAUUUGCAACAAAGGAGAAUUCAGCUCAAUAACCAACUUUGGAGGUUUAUUUUUGGGUCUAGUUUAGAAAGUAUAUUGAUUUAGGCUGAAAAUUAGAAGGAUAUGCCUUAUAGUAAGAGCAAUGAAGUUCUUCAAUAACUUUCUACUAGGAAGAAUGGUGAUAAAAUGAUAAAGCUCACUAUUUUAAGGUGUACUUUAAAUCCAUUCUUUUUUACCCCACCCUGCUACAUGGCCUUUACAAAAAUCAAAAAGAAGUGUUAUGUAACACUUCCAAAAAGAUAAAGACAUAACAGAACAGACCCGCUUAAAGUGCUGUAUCAAACCACAGUGCUGAUCUUACAUAAUUGUUUAUCUUUCUAUGUAGAUAUGUAUGUGAACAAAGUCUCUUCUAACCAUACAUACAUAUGCCACACAAAUCUGUGGGCAGUGUUUGUCCCGCAGACAACAGGUAGAACAUUAUGCUUUUUCUGUAUUGUCAAGUCUUCCUAUGGAAUUGCAUAUUCUACAAUUCUGUUUUAUGCAAACUGCAAGUUUGCAUUAGAACAGAAAACAUUUUUUCUAAUGCAGCCUUAGAUUUUUAUCCCUUAUGAAGCUGUUGGCUGAUUGAUAAAGAUUUACCACAUUUCUUCAUAGGACAUCUGUAUUGAAAUCUCACAACCACACAGUAUUUCACAAUCUGCAGAAAAAAUAAUAAAAUAAAAUAAAAUAAAAUAAAAUAAAAUAAAAUAAAAUAAAAUAAAAUAAAAUAAAAUAAAAUAAAAUAAAAUAAAAUAAAAUAAAAUAAAAUA